Long non-coding RNA from Pecten maximus, 765 nucleotides. RefSeq lists it as uncharacterized. The transcript is spliced from 2 exons. Lineage: Eukaryota; Metazoa; Mollusca; Bivalvia; Pectinida; Pectinidae. The record is from RefSeq and is a predicted model, not a curated record.
AAAUAGAUUCUCAGCUCUGGUAUAAAUAGGUAUGUGGUCAUUGGGUGGACUGCCUUAAAAUAGCUUCCCAUGCUGUGGUAUAAAUAGGUAUGAGGUUAUGAUCUGUUUAUAGUCGGUUCCUAGAGGUUGUAUAUAUAGAACUUGACCAUGAUGUCAUUCUUUUAUUAGACUGUGUUGGUGUUUAAGUUUAGCAUCUAUAGUGUAGGGAGUUGGGUUUAGUAAGUGAUGUCACUGGUCAAGAAUAGUUUGCUGGCCAUAUAUAAAGGGCUGUUACCUUAGAGUAGGGGUUUUUUGGACAUCGAGUGGUUAGAGGAGUUUUCAGAGUGAGUGGAACAAGGAGUUAGUUUUAGAGAGUUUUUAGAGUUAGUGCUUAGAGUAUAUACAUUCAUGUACGUAGGUCUUAUUAAUUGAGAGACAUUGGAUUGUUAUGUGCUUAUUUUAGAUAGAGUGUAUAGAAAUGUAUAGAUUAGUUUAGUUUAUGGUUUUGAGUCUAGUUUAGUGAUAUGUAAUUAGGAACUUUAAAGAACCUUUUAUUAUGCAAUUAUUUUCUUCAUCUUGGUUACUCCUAAAAGGAAUUGGAGUGGAUUUUAUUUAGAUACUGCUGGAAUUUAUUCAACUUCAGGCUUUCUUAUUUACUUUGUGAAUUAUUUGUGAAUUUAUACGUUCUACUCCUGGAGUAUAUAUUGGAUUGGAAUUUGAUAUAGUAUCUUGGUUGGCAAGUACUUUGAAUGAAAGUCAUAUCUUAAUAAAACUGAAGGAAUUUUA